Molecule: long non-coding RNA, 2416 nt
Organism: Mobula hypostoma (lesser devil ray)
Lineage: Eukaryota; Metazoa; Chordata; Chondrichthyes; Myliobatiformes; Myliobatidae
Exons: 3
Source: RefSeq, a predicted model, not a curated record
CACAGGUGGAGAUCGCUUCGUGCCUCAACACAAUGACACGGAAUUCCAUUACAUUUGACAGCAGGUGCCAAGAGCCUGAGAUCGGGCAGCAGGUACAGGACAAUAAGGCUCAGGUCAUUUAUAAAAAUCGCAAAGAGUAAGGAUCCCAGAACAGAUCCCUGCGGCACUCCACUGGUGACUGACCACCAUGCAGAGUAUGACCCGUCUACAACCACUCUUUGCCUUCUGUGGGCAAGCCAGUUCUGGAUCCACAAAGCAAGGUCCCCUUGGAUCCCAUGCCUCCUUACUUUUUCAAUAAGCCUUGCAUGGGGUACCUUAUCAAGUGCCUUGCUGAAAUCCAUAUACACUACAUCUACUGCUCUUCCACCUUGUAACAGAGAUGGAGAUGGAGUUAUGUUGAAGCACUUCAGUCCUUCAAUGCACUUGGGAAAUACUUGAGAUGUUCAAUUAAGAAUUUUCAAAGUGGGCAGUUCAACAUUCCCUUUAAAGUGAUUUAUGCGUAUUACCCAGAGAACUUUAUUUUGAAAUUAACUCUGCUAUGGACUGUCUGAAGCCCGCUGUUAAAGGAAGAGGGUAGAGCAUGGAGCUAGCAACUUAAUUCCGUUAAAAACCCAGUGCUACGGAAGAGACAACAGAAGAUCCAAAGACCUCGUCCCUGGGAGAGAAAGGAUGUACCAAGAAUAUGGGCUACACCUAGGGACAACUUUAAAGAAAGGCUUGGGACCGAGGACUCUGGCGGAAGAUACAAAAGCCAGGCUCAAGGAUAGCUUCUACCCCAUUGUUCUCAGACUCCCUGAGCCAUUCCCCUUGUACAGAAAGAUCAACUCAUGACCUCACAAUCUAUCUCGUGAUGAUCUUUGCACCUUAUUGUCUGCCUGCACUGCCCUUCCUCUGUCACGGUAACCCUUCAUUCUGUAUUGUUAUUGUUUUCCCUUGUUCUCCAAGCCACGUCUAUUGUCAUUUAACUAUCUACAUAAUGUACAUAACCAUAUAAAGUGUAUAGAAACAAGACAAUUCUUCUCUGAACCAGGGUGUAAAGCACAGUGGUGCACAUGUCACACAUAACACGCCAUAACUUAUGAAGAUAAGGAUAAAAUCUACAGGUGAAUCACACGUAAGCAACAAACUAAAGUACAUUAUCAGGUAUUGUAAGAUUAACCAGUGACACUUUGAAUACGAUAGGGCUGGGAGUUCAGAAACUUAAUUAAUAUCCUGGGGGGGGAAGCUGUUUCUCAUCCUGACUGUUCUUAUUUUUAUGCAUUGUAGUCUCCUGCCAAUGGUAGGAAGUCAAAGAGGGUGCUGGAUGGAUGGGUGGGAUCCUUGAUAAUACCAAGGACCCUGCGUAUGCAGUGCUCCUGAUAAAUGUCUUGGUGGAUGGUAGGGAGACCCCUAUGAUCCUCUCAACUGUUCUCACAAUCCUUUGUAGGAACUUCAGGUCCGAUGCUCAACUGCUCCCAUACCAGAUGGAGAGGCAACUUGUCAGGAUGUUCUCAAUGGUGCUCCUGUAAUAUGCAGUUAAGAUGAGGGGGUGGGAGCCUUGAUUGCCUCAAUUUUCUUCGGAAGUGGAGGUACUGCUGUGGCUUCUUGUUCAGGGAGAUGAUAUUAAGGGACCAGGUGAGGUCAUCCUUGAUGUGAACUCCCAGGAACUUGGUACACUUAACUGUUGUGUGCACAGUCUCUCCCACCUCCACCACUGAAGCUUGUAACUUCUCCAGAGCUGUCAUAGGUCUUUUGGUGGCCUCCCCCACUAGUCUCCUUCUUGCACAGUCACUCAGUUUUUGAGGAUGGCCUCCCCUGGGCAGAUUGACUGCCACGCCAUAUUUUUUUCAUUUCUUGAUGAUUGAUUUACUAUCAAAGGGAUAUUCAGACUGUUGGACAUUUUCUUGUAUCCAUCUCCUGACUUGUGCUUUUCAAUAACCUUUUCGCGGAGUUGCUUGGAGUGUUCUCUUAUCUUCAUGAUGCAGUUUUUGCCAAGAUACUGACUCACCAGCAGUUGGACCUUCCAGAUACAGGUGUAUUUUUACUACAAUCAGUUGAAACACCUUGUCUGCACACAAUCUCCAAAAACGGAUCUCCAGUUAACUAACUGUGCGACUUCUAAAACCAAUUGGCUGCACCAGUGAUAAUUUGGUGUGUCAUAUUAAAGGGGUGUGAAUACUUAUGCAAUCAAUUAUUUUGUGUUUUAUAUUUGUAAUUAAUUUAGAUCACUUUGUAGAGAUCUGUUUUCACUUUGACCUGAAAGAGUCUUUUUCUGUAGAUCAGUGUCAGAAAAAUACAAAUUAAAUCCACUGUGAAUCAAUGUUGUAAAGCAAUAAAGCAUGAAGACUUCCAGGGGGAGGGAGGAUACUUUUAUAGGCACUGUAUAUAAUUUCUGCAAUUCACCUUUCUUUUCUAUUAUUACGUAUUGUAAUAUGCU